UGGGGAAUAUUGCACAAUGGAGGGAACUCUGAUGCAGCGACGCCGCGUGAGUGAUGAAGGAAUUCGUUUCGUAAAACUCUGUUCUAUGGGAAGAAAAGGACUGUACCAUAGGAGAAAGCUCCGGCUAAAUACGUGCCAGCAGCCGCGGUAAUACGUAUGGAGCGAGCGUUGUCCGGAAUUAUUGGGCGUAAAGGGUGCGCAGGCGGCUUUACAAGUUGGAUGUGAAAUAUUGUGGCUCAACCACAAACGUGCAUCCAAAACUGCAAAGCUUGAGUUAAGGAGAGGUAAGUGGAAUUCCUGGUGUAGCGGUGGAAAGCGUAGAUAUCAGGAGGAAUACCGGUGGCGAAGGCGACUUACUGGACUUAAACUGACGCUCAGGCGCGAAAGCGUGGGGAGCAAACAGG
Molecule: ribosomal RNA, 404 nt
Filed under: Fusobacteriota bacterium
Lineage: Bacteria; Fusobacteriati; Fusobacteriota
Description: Fusobacteria bacterium partial 16S ribosomal RNA
Rfam family: Bacterial small subunit ribosomal RNA
Source: RNAcentral